Long non-coding RNA from Ictalurus punctatus (channel catfish), 366 nucleotides. RefSeq lists it as uncharacterized. Lineage: Eukaryota; Metazoa; Chordata; Actinopteri; Siluriformes; Ictaluridae. The transcript has 2 exons. The record is from RefSeq and is a predicted model, not a curated record.
GUUCCCAAAUCCCUGAGAGGGUCCUGAUGUUUUAAAAUACGUGAAGAACUUGAGUUAAAUGAGGAAAGAUGACAUCCACAUCAUACAGGCACAAAGUCUACAAGUGAAAAGCAUUGAACUGUUCCUCCAGUUAAAAAAAACAACCUCAAAACCCACACCGACCCGUAAACAGGUCUGAUGACAACGAAACAGGAAUGACGAAACAAGGAGCACCAUUCAAGUCAUCUUGUAGGACAGGUUUGACACUUUAUAAAUGGGUAGUAGGGCCACAGGACAAAGCAACAUGUUAUAGUUACUUUUUUAAAAUAAGUAUAAUAGUUCCCUAUGGUUUUUGUAAAAAAAAAAAAAAAAAAAUGAAUAUAAAAA